UACAGAGGUCUCAAGCGUUGUUCGGAAUUACUGGGCGUAAAGAGUGUGUAGGCGGUGUGUCGCGUCGGCCGUGAAAACCUGCAGCUUAACUGUGGGCGUGCGGUCGAUACGGGCAUCACUGGAGUUCGGCAGGGGAGACUGGAAUUCCUGGUGUAGCGGUGAAAUGCGCAGAUAUCAGGAGGAACACCGGUGGCGAAGGCGGGUCUCUGGGCCGAUACUGACGCUGAGGAGCGAAAGCGUGGGGAGCAAACAGG
This 254-nucleotide ribosomal RNA is filed under the name uncultured bacterium. RNAcentral's name for it is "partial 16S ribosomal RNA". It matches the Rfam family "Bacterial small subunit ribosomal RNA", at positions 524 to 776 of the family's 1533-position model. The record is from RNAcentral.